GCCAUAUUAGCAAGGUGCUAAAAUUUCAAUUGGUGCCAAUGUCAAUGGUUUAAUUGUUUCUGUGGAUGUUCCAAAAUGGAUUAUUGUUGAUUGAUAGAACUGGGAUACAACAGUGGAAAACUAUGGCCUUAAAGACUUUCACCACGCUGUUGCUACUUCUCGCUGCUGCAGUUGUCUACAGUACUUUCGCACAAGAAACUGGAGAGGGCGCUACUUAUUUAGAUCCCAUUGGACCCAAAUUGCCUGACGAGCAUACGAUGAAAGAAACUGUCGCAUGCACAGUAAAUGGUCAAAACUGUCAGUGUUAUCCCAGAACAAAUAUUAUAUACAGCUGCUAAAAGGACGUAAUCAUUUCGGUAUAGCAGGAAGCGAACGGACCGCCUGCGUGGAAAACUAUUAGAUUGGGGAAUCUGAAGGUGACACUACAUUUCCUCCGGUGACAAUAGCUCCGGUCUUUCUUUCGUCUAAAAUAGGGUUAUGAUUAGGUUUCCUGUAAAGUUCCUAUAGGUUUAUGGUUCGGUUUAAUAAUAACAAUAAUAAUAAUGUACAUUUAUAUAUCGCUUAUCGCAAUAGCAUAGAAUAGCAUAGAGUAUAUUAUUAAAUCCAGUGUUGAAGUUGGUAAUUCGAUUGAUAUGUGGACUUUGCAGCUGAGCAAUUGUCGUCGGAGCAAACGUCAUGGAACCAAUCUGGACGUGAAAUCAUCUGCGCAGGAAAAUCUCUAUUCAAUACCUAUGGGGUUAGAAUAGGAUAUGGUGGUAACACACCGGUUUGAUAAACGUAAGAGUGGAGCGUUGUGGCCCAGUGGAUUAGUCUUCGGACUUUGAAACAGAGGGUCGUGGGUUCC
Long non-coding RNA from Lytechinus variegatus (green sea urchin), 844 nucleotides. RefSeq lists it as uncharacterized. Lineage: Eukaryota; Metazoa; Echinodermata; Echinoidea; Temnopleuroida; Toxopneustidae. The record is from RefSeq and is a predicted model, not a curated record. The transcript is spliced from 4 exons.